UUUAAUAAAACGAAUAAAUUCAGAAUGGAUGUGCAUAUUCACAUGACAUAUUGUAAUCCAGGAGGUGGGUUCAAAAUGCUGGCCUCCAACUACCUUGGGAUCACAGAGCAUCCAUUCUUCUUAGAGGUUGAAGAGUUGACAGAGAAAGUAAUGGUGACUCCUGCUGAUGUAGCUGAGCGACUGAUGAGGAGUGAGGUACCUGAAGUUGCACUUAGAGACCUAAUUGAUUUUCUUAAGAUCAAGAAGAGAGAACAGGGUGAAAGUAAAGCCAAAGGAGUGAAAGAAGAGAGAGCAGGGGAAGCAGAAAUUGAAGGGAAAGCCAGUGGCACAUGCGGAGACAUGCCAAAGAUUCAGCAAAUUGUAGGGAAGUCUUCAAGAAGCAAUGAUUUGUGAUCAGAAUAGGGUACAUUUCAUUUCAGUGGUCAAAGAAAGUCUUACAUAGGAGGUUCAAAUAAAAUUACAUCAGAGUCAAAAAUCAGGCUUGAAUGAAUAUGUUCUAUUUUGCCAAUGAAUUCGAAUCAUCAUAUGAUUAAUGACCACCAUUUUCUUUUUCUUUUUUUUUCUUUUUUUGGUUUUACAAGAGGUGUCCUUUUAUAUUUUCUUUAGAUUAAAUGACCUUUUGUAUGUCCUAAAUUUUCAGAAAUUAUUUUAGGAUGAGUUAUGCUAUUUCAACUCUAUGACGACAAAGGGACGACAGAAACAUGUGUCUCUUUGUCUGUUGCUUCAACUUCAUUCAUCAUCCUUUAUCGAUUACUUUUUUCAUUUAAAAAAUAAAAUAAUGAAAAAGAAACCACAAAAGUAACGAAAAGAGGUGACAAUAACAGCACUUUUUUAUUUCCGAUUUUUCUUGUUGUCUUCUCUCUCUCCAUCUCUCACCUCUCAUUUAACGUGAGCCAUCUGCAUUUAACAAGGAAAAAUCGGUUCCCUCUCUGCAUCUCGCUUAUCACAAGGAAGAAGUUAGAUCUGGAUCUGCAAACAGAGGCAACUUGAUAAAAUUGGUACUGAUUAAUUGGUAAGUUGGUGACUCUCAUUACAUUUAAAUAAAAUUUUUGUUGUGUUCUAUAUAUUUAAAUGGUUAGAAUAUUUAAUUUAAAUUGUAAAUAUUCGUAGAUUUUUUCUUUUUAUAUAUUUAAAUUGUUAUGAUUUUUUUUUAAUUUAAAUGGGUGGAAAUAAUGGAAUAAAUUAUAACAAUUUCUGAAUGUGUUUUAUAUAUGUUAGGAUUUUUUUUAAUUUAAAUGCCUGGAAAUAAUGGAAUAAAUUGUAACAAUUUUUUAAUGUGUUUUAUAUAUGUUAGGAUUUUUCUUAAUUUAAAUGGCUGGAAAUAAUGGAAUAGAUUAUAACAAUUUCUAAAUGUGUUUUAUAUAUGUUACGAUUUUUUUUAAUUUAAAUUGCUGAAAAUAAUGUAAUAAAUUAUAACAAUUUCCGAAUGUGUUUUAUAUAUUUAAGUUGUUAGGAUUUUAUAAUUUAAAUUGCUGGAGAUAAUAGAAUAAAUUAUAAAAAUUUGUGGAUGUGUUUUAUAUAUUUAAAUUGUUAGGAAUUUUCGUUACUGGACAAAAAUGUUAUAUAAGUUUCUUAAUACAAAUGUUAAUUAUUUUGUAGAAAUGGAGAAUUUGGAAAAUGAGCAUGCAUUUGAAGAGUUGCAAGAAACAAGAGCUAACGAUGUAGAUGAAAUUGUGGAACCGAACAAAUGUGAGCCAGAUCUUAGAAUGUUAUUUGAUAAUCGUGAAGAAAUGUUUGCAUUUUACAAAGCUUAUAGUAAACAAGAGGGGUUUCCUGUGAAGGUUCAAAGUACUAGGAAGGGGACCGAUGGAAUUGUAAAAUAUGCGACAUUUGCAUGUGGGCGUAGCGGCAAGUCAGAAAGUAAAUCAGCUAAUGCAUUGAAGCCGAAACCGAAUGUGAAAAAUGGUUGUGAUGCAAAAAUUGGAGGUUGUCUAAAUGAAGAUGGAAAAUGGGUUCUUCAAACUUUAAAUCUUCAACACAACCCUGGAUUGAGUCCAGACAAAGCUAGGUAUUUCCCAUGCAAUCGCAGAAUUAGUGCAAGUGCUAAAAAACGAAUUAAAAUUAAUGAUUGUGCAGGAAUUAGAAUUGUCCAAAAUUUCAAUUCUAUUGUUGUUGGAGCUAGUGGGUAUGAAAAUGUGUCAUUCUUAGAAAAAGAUUGUAGAAAUUUUGUUGACAAAACAAGGCGAUUACAGCUUGAGGAAGGAGAUGUUAUGGCGCUUUUAAAGUACUUCCAUAAAAAGCAAGUAGAAUGUGCUCAAUAUUUCGAUUUAUGUCACAAUCUCCCAGUGUCAAGUAGCUGGAUACCGUUCACGUUCCACAUAUUAUUUUUCACAUUUAAUUAAUUCAAUUAAGUGGAUGAUCAUAUAAAUGAUACCACGAUAUGUUAAAUUGAAAGUUCAGAAAGAUUCAAAAUUUCAUCAUCCACAAGAUAAAAUAAAAACAAAUAAAAAAAAUGCUUACGGAUGGGUCACUAGAACUGCACCAGCAAGCAACAGCUAGAAGUCUCUUAGAAGCCUGAAGAGCCACAACAAGAUCAUUCCACCAAAGCAGCAACGUCGUAGAUGAAGAAGACUCGAUCGUGUCUGUUGUAGAUCUGGGUUGGGCGAGAACAAGAAGCGGUCGUCAUCCGGUAACAAGAAGCAGGCGUCGUCCGGUAACAAAGCAAAUAGGGUUGGGCGAGAAAAAAAAAAAAAAGGGCUGGGUGAGAAUAAGCAGCCAGGAAAAUGAGUGGAGGGGCUAUGGAGAUGAAUGCGCGUAGAUCGAGGCUGAGCUGGUGGCCAAUGAGAAUCAUACUUUGCUAACCAAGCUUGUGAAAAGGAGGGAAAAGCACCAGCCGGCCAGGAAUGAUGACCAAUUGCUGGGGGUCGAUUUCCUCUUCCUUCCAGAUGAACGGAAAGGGAAGAACGAAGGAGGGGAGUAAACUAAGGAAAGGAAAAUAUGGCUGGGGAGGGAGGAGAUAAAAAACAAAAAGAGAUGACCUGCUUUCCAUUUAACAAUUCUUUAUUUUAUUAUUUAUUAUGGCCCCACGCGGAACUAAAAGAAGACAAAGGAAACGCGUGAAACAGCAGUGGGCACUGCGUUUCUGUCGCCCCUUUGUCUUCUUUUAGUUCCUUUAUCAUUUUCCUUUUAGGAUUCAUUGGUUGAAUAGAUUUGUAUCCCCCAAGGUUAACAUUAUUAUACUUAGUGCUUAUUCGGUAUAACUUAUCUAACGAACAUUAGUGUUUAUUUAAUUUUAUAAGAUCUUUUCAAAAAAUUUAGUAUUGUCUGGUUGCAUUUUGAAUAGAGCAUUUGAAGAUUAAAUAAGAUAUUUUGUUUUUAGUAGUAAUAAACUCAAAUUUUGGACUUGUAAGAAUAGAGGUUGUAGAACCUUUUUAAAAACUUAAAUUAUCUUAAUUUAUUUAACAAUCUUGUUUCACUUCUUUCAUAACAUAAAUUUUAAAAAAUAAUCAAUUAAAGUGAUUUUAUAAUUAAAAAAAAAAGUUCUUGUCGAUAACUAAAAAAUUCAAAAAAAAAAUUCAGAAAAUCUCUACUUCUAAAAGUCCUACAAAUAUAAGGCCAUUUAUCACAACCAUAGUAUCUGCUACAGCUUAUGCCGUGUCCACAAUUAUGGUUGCUCCAUCCAUUACUCAAGAAUACUUCCCUAAUGAGGCUAGAGGCUACUUAUGUGUACAACUUAAAGCUCUUAUGGCAAGAUAUUCUAAUGAGUGAACAUUAGUCUUGUUGGGUCCAUCUCAUUUUGGGGCCCAAAAGCCCAAAAUCUAAAAAGGUCCAAAAACAUUUACUUGAUUUGUAAUUAACAUUAAGCUUUGGAUUUUGAUGAAAUUUGCCAUGAAAUUUAGUUUUAAAAAAACAAGCAGCAGCCCUAGUUUCCUAAUCACAAAAAGACGAGUGGGAAAAGAGAGAAGAAGAUAGUGACCGGCUAUCAUCAUUUGGAGGCAAGAUUUUUAACCUUUAAUUGGACAAUCGAAAGGCAAAAAUAUUUUCGUUUUCUCCUAAAUUUUGAGGGUAAGUUCGCCCUCUAUAAUCUUAGUGAUCUUGAUUAUUAUUUUAUCCUUUCGUUGGUUAUUAUUUGAGAUACCCAUUUAUUAAAAAGAUAAAUAUUAAGUUGUUACUGUAAGUCAAAAACAUUAAGAUUCCUGAUGUUAUUAGCCUCUAAUAUUAUCUAGAGAAAAAUUUGUGUUAUAAUCUCAUUAAUAUAAUAGAAGUUAUAACGAACUAUGUCCUGUAGUUUUUUCCGCUUUAGGUUUUCCACAUAAAAAUCUAUAUCUCUUGUGGUUAAUUUUAUUGCUUUGGAUUUAUUAGUUUAUUUUUCUGCCUAUUUAUUUGUGAUGCAUAACAUAUUUAAAUCACACAAAGAGAAAAAGAGUUUUGUUUCCGCUUAAUUUGUAACUAGUUGUGGUAGUCACUUUCCCAACAUAUAUGCCAUUGGCUUUCCUUUCAAUUUGGUGCGUCAUCUGCUCUCUCUUCUUUUGCUUCUUUAGCUUUACUUUCAUCAUUUUCCGUCUGCUUAAUCUUAAAGACAUCAGUUAGGCCUCUAAGUGCAAUUUCGGGUACUUUAUUCCUCAUUAGCUGCUCAACUACAUCUGCUAGAGUCACAUUUGCUUUCUCUAUCAACUCGUCAAUCUCUGUGAGGAGUGGAUGCUCUGUGAUCCCAAAGUAGUUUGAGGCUAGCAUUUUGAACCGAAAUGGAGUGCAAUAAGACAUAUGAAUGUGCAUGUCCAUACAACUUGAUCGCAACAAUAUAUGCAGGGUCAAGUCUGUUUUUAUGAUUAGUUGUGAAUAUUAUGAUCCUCUCAUAUGCACAACUCGACCACAAUCCAUCUAUGAAGUUUAGCAAUCCUGAUAAGGUCACUUUUGUUUCUUGAUUGAUAUUAGUUAUCGAUUUGAUUGCAUUAGAUUUCACAUGAUUCAAAGCUUUUGCCUAUGAAUGCUUGUCUUGCAAAUUUAUGGAACAAUCAAUGUCCUCCACAACAAGAAUAGACUUAUUCUCUGUGGCAAUCAACAUAUUCCUUAACUCCAUAUUCUCUUUGAAAGUAGUCAACUCCAAGUCAUAGACAUCAAAAUUAAGAUAAUUAGUCAUGGCUGCAAUUAAGCUGGAUUUCCCUAUUCCUAGAGGACCGUAUAAAAAGUACCUAUGUUUCCAUGCUUUGCCAACAUUUCUAUAAAACUCUUUCCUCUUCACAAACCUCUCAAGAUCAUUCAUUAUCAUCUGCUUCAUUUUAGAAUCCAUUGCCAGUGUAUCGAAAGGGGCUGGAUGUCAAGAUUCACCGAUUGCCAUACGUCUCUCCCUUCGUGCAUCAUGUCCUUUAAAGUAAAAAGCUUCAAAGUCUUUUUUUGCCUGCUUAUUUCUUUAAAUACAUUCAAUACAUGAGGAAUGUAAGCAUGCAAGACCAUUUGCUUAUGCUUCUUCUGAGAUCUUAACUCAAAGAGUUUGUUCUUGUCUUUAACCUUGUAUUGGUCUGGAUUACGAACCACCUCCAGUGGGUCUGGUCUCGAAAGAAACUUCUGUUUUAAUUGAACCCCAUUAAAGAUAUCAACAAUCUCAUCAUUUUAUCUAUUUGAGCAUGAAAUUUUGAUGUCCAUAUUCGACGUGAUGACUGUUAAGAUCUCAGAAGAAGCAUAAGCAAAUGGUCUUGCAUGCUUACAUUCCUCAUGUAUUGAAUGUAUUUAAAGAAAUAAGCAGGCAAAAAAAGACUUUGAAGCUUUUUACUUUAAAGGACAUGAUGCACGAAGGGAGAGACGUAUGGCAAUCGGUGAAUCUUGACAUCCAGCCCCUUUCGAUACACUGGCAAUGGAUUCUAAAAUGAAGCAGAUGAUAAUGAAUGAUCUUGAGAGGUUUGUGAAGAGGAAAGAGUUUUAUAGAAAUGUUGGCAAAGCAUGGAAACAUAGGUACUUUUUAUACGGUCCUCUAGGAAUAGGGAAAUCCAGCUUAAUUGCAGCCAUGACUAAUUAUCUUAAUUUUGAUGUCUAUGACUUGGAGUUGACUACUUUCAAAGAGAAUAUGGAGUUAAGGAAUAUGUUGAUUGCCACAGAGAAUAAGUCUAUUCUUGUUGUGGAGGACAUUGAUUGUUCCAUAAAUUUGCAAGACAAGCAUUCAUAGGCAAAAGCUUUGAAUCAUGUGAAAUCUAAUGCAAUCAAAUCGAUAACUAAUAUCAAUCAAGAAACAAAAGUGACCUUAUCAGGAUUGCUAAACUUCAUAGAUGGAUUGUGGUCGAGUUGUGCAUAUGAGAGGAUCAUAAUAUUCACAACUAAUCAUAAAAACAGACUUGACCCUGCAUAUAUUGUUGCGAUCAAGUUGUAUGGACAUGCACAUUCAUAUGUCUUAUUGCACUCCAUUUCGGUUCAAAAUGCUAGCCUCAAACUACUUUGGGAUCACAGAGCAUCCACUCCUCACAGAGAUUGACGAGUUGAUAGAGAAAGCAAAUGUGACUCUAGCAGAUGUAGUUGAGCAGCUAAUGAGGAAUAAAGUACCCGAAAUUGCACUUAGAGGCCUAACUGAUGUCUUUAAGAUUAAGCAGACGGAAAAUGAUGAAAGUAAAGCUAAAGAAGCAAAAGAAGAGAGAGCAGAUGACGCACCAAAUUGAAAGGAAAGCCAAUGGCAUAUAUGUUGGGAAAGUGACUACCACAACUAGUUGCAAAUUAAGCGGAAACAAAACUCUUUCCCUCUUUGUGUAAUUAAAAUAGGAUAUGUACCACAAAUAAAUAAGCAGAAAAUAAACCAAUAUAAUCCAAAGCAAAAAAACCAACCACAGGAGACUUACAUUUUUACGUGGAAAACCCAAAACAAGAAAAACCACAGAACCAUAGUCCGAUAUAAUCUUCCACUAUAUUAAUAGGAUUACAGCAUAAAUUAUUCUCUAAAUAAUACUACAGGCUACCAACAUCAAUAAAUCUCAAUAUUAUUCGCUUACAGUAACAGCCUAAUAUUUAUUUUUCUAAUAAGUGGGUAUCUCAAAUAAUAGCUAACGAGACAAUAAAAUAAAAAUCAAGACUAAUAAAAGUAUAGAGGAUGAUAUUAGAAACUUACCCUCAAAAUUUAAAAAAAAACAAAGUUAAUUUCACCUUCCGACCGUCCAACUAAAGAUUGAAACUAAAGCCCUCAAAUUUAAUAUUGUCAUUGUUCUCUCUCUCUCUCUCUCUCUCUCUCUCUCUUCUUUUUCUUCUCCACAAAAGUUGCUGCCGCCUCCAUUUAUUCUUCUUUAUAGAGCCACGUUUUCAAAACCUAAUUCAUGGCAAAUUUCAUCUAAGUCCAAAGCUUAAUAAUAAUUGCAAAUGAAGCAAACUUAUUUGGACUUGAGCAUUUUGGUCCACUAAAAUGAAAUGAACCCUACGAAUCUCCCCCUCCAACUCAUUUCAGAGACACCACCAAGCCCGCUCUUUACAUAAGCUUUUUAACUACUCCUUGGGCAAUGUCUUUGUCAUCAUAUCUAAUAAUAUAUAAAUUAAGAUGUUGAUGCUUAAAUCUGCUCGCGUUGUGACCGACCAGAUUCCUUCACCAACGUUUGUAUUGUCAGCUGUUGCUCAGAUCACUGGGGUGGAAUCUCCUUGCUUUCUCUUACUAGACCUGCGUUCACAAAAACAAGUCAGAGACGCCGGUGGUUUUGCCGGCGUAAAACCCUCCGAUGCCUAAGUUAGCACAAGGUGUUUACGGGAAAACUGUGUAAUUCAGAUUCAAGAAGGGUUUCUAACUCGUUUUGUAAGAAAGAGUCUGAUUGCAAUUUGGCAGCGUUUUUCCUCUCUCCCACCUUUUCUUCCCUUUUUUAUCGUUUUUCCUCCUUUUAUAGCCGUUAUCCCACGUUCACCUUCAAUUUUCAUCCCUCCUUUUUCGGGUAGUGGCCUUUAAAUGCUUUUAAAUGCUACAUCAUGGGUAAACGUGGGGUAUCGCAUCUCUCGUAACGGUUCUAGGAAAAGUGCAAACGCCAUAAUUCUGUGGGAUCGUGUUCCCGCUUUUCCAGGAGACGGGUAUCAGCUCGGGAUACACCUUUGGUCAGUAUUAGACUCUGAUCGGUUCAUGCUGCCCCCUGCUCUGCUCGUACCGUACCACUUGGCUGAGGUGAUUCAUGCCAGGGGUUAUUCAUGCCGAGGUGAAAACAGUAAUAUGGCCGACCUGGUAUCAUUAUUGGCUCAACAUAAGACAUGCUAAAUAUUCAGUAUAUUGGGUUUGUUAUAAAAAAUUUUGGAUACGUGGGUAAUAUAUUCAAUAACAUAUACGUGUGUGUGUAUUUAAUCCACUAAUCUUGCUAUCAUGCAUGAAAUUAAUUUCGAUUAUGAAUACGUAUAUAAAAAUUUUAUCUGGGUGCAUCUGGUUUUCAAAUAAUAUCAUCCCAUAAUUUAGGAGCAGAUUUGAAUGGUUGUAGUUACAUAAUAUUUUUUUUUUUUUUUAAAAAAAAAGGUAUUUUCUAAUACCUCUUUUUGUAUCAACAUUUCCCUUUUCUGUUUAAUCCUUUGUUUCCAGUUCCCUCUACCAGGCCUUGAACCAUAGUGACUAAGAUAACUUGGAUGGUAAUCCAUCCGCUAAGGCCAAGGUAUCCCGGUGGCCCAUUUCUAUAAAGCAAAUUCUAUAUUAGAACAUUGAGUCCUGUGCUUACAUCCUUUACACUCUGUUGACGCUGUUCAACAAUUGUGCAAUGAAAAGAUGAAUUGAUCAAUGCACAUUACCCAAUUAAAAAGGAAGGUGUUUUUUAAUACCUCUCAUUUGAUUUGUUAGUUUCCUGCUUAUGUUCAAUGUUUCUUUUCUGUAUCUGAUUCUACCAGGUCUUGACCCCUGGCAGCAAACAAAUGCCCAAACAGCAUACUUGCCACCAAGGGCGCAUGUAGACUUGGUAACUAAACAACCCUCAAGGUGACCUUUUAACUUUGUGUAGCGAAUACAAGAAGGCCAGCCCAGCAGCCCUCAUUUUCAAACGUCAAAAUCUUAAUUACUUUUUGAAAAUUGAAGGCAUCAUUCAAAUUGAUUUGCUAACUUGUCCUCUAGGUUGGAAUAUAUGACUCUAUUAUAGCUUGACCUCAGUUUAUUAUUGGGACCUUGACUUGCAUGGUUAGAACCCACAAAACCUAAUAGCCACAUAUACUCAAGUCUUCGGUCACAUUAAAUUAAAAGAUUUUGGAGUGACUCUUAUAAAUGGAGGCCACCAUUUGUAAGUCAAUUCACAAUUAAAUUUUUGGGAGAAUUCAAGCCUGCCAAUUUUCACUUUCAUAUAAUAUUUCCUCAUUUGAAUACUUGUGUUUCUUCUUAUCUUUAAUGUUAGAGUACUUUCUACUUACAUUCACAACUUAAUUAACUUUUUAUUUUUUUUUUUAAUUUUCAUAAAUCAUUUUAGGAUUCACAGGUUGAAUAUAUUUAUAUAAUAAUGAUGAUAAUAAAAGAGACGCCGGUCAAUCAGAAAGUUCAUAUGAAUACUGUGUGAAGGGUGAGACCGAGUGUUAGAAAAUUUCCACUAAGAAAUUAGUCCAAAAUGCUUUUAAAUUAAGUACUAUGAAGUUAUCAAGAAUGUUCACUAAUGUAUUAAAAAAAAAAUGACUCUGAUUCGUUUCAUGCAUUUCCUACGAAAUAUUAAAAGUCAAGGCGGCUUCAUCACGCACGUUGAAAGAUUUGACAUAGAAACCCAUUUUCCACUCAAUGCUUAGCUACUGCCCACAAAGUCCCCAUCAAAAUAACCCACUUUGUACGAAGCUUUGGAAAAAAUUAUUCUUAAUCACAAAAAAUAAAAGCUCCCCAUAUUUUUAGGGCAUUUAACAUAAAAAGCAUAGUUUUUCUAUUAGUUAAUUUCAACUACAUCCGUAAAUUCUAUUACAGGGAGCAAAUUUAACUGUUAGUUCACGUUUAUAGUGCGAUACUACCAACCUCAAAAGUUGGCUUAUGGUCCUGUUCGGUAUAUAAAUUAGGUAGUUAUAGUUUAAACUUUAUAGUAUUAAAAUAUUUACUAAACACGAAUUGUUGUGUCCCAAAAGUUAAGUUGAUUUAAUUUAUCAUUUAUAUGAUUAAAAAAUUAAAAAAAUUAUUAUUUUUAUCAAAAUUAUUAUUUAAAAGACAUAUUAAUACACACUAGUUAAUAAUAUUUCAUAAUUAUAAUUUUUUUUUCGUAUAGCACAUUAAUACGGACCAAGGGUCUCAAUUGAGUAAUUAUUGCUGGGGUGGAAGUGAAUGUAUGUAGAAGUGUGGCAUACCAGUUUAUUUUUGUAGUGAAGUGAAUGCUUUUGCAGAGCACCAUGUGAUCAUAGGCAUAUUAUCCAAAAUGUUAAUUUUUCAAUACAAAUAAGUAAUAUAGUAGGGGUUCUCAUUGUUAUUACCACAUUUUUAUAAAUUUGUCCGUCUUCCACACACACUCUUUCAGUUUUUCCACCAUUAUUAUUUAAAUUUUAAUUCCAUAUAUCUUUCUUCACGAACUAAUAAGUACGUCAAAACUUGAAAACCACCAACAUAAGAAUUCAAGUAAGGAUGUGUUUGGAAUUGAGGUUAAGAAAUUGUAACUUUUAAGUCAAAGCACUAAAAUAUUUGGUAAACAUUAACUGUUGUAACUUGACAGUUAUGUUACUACGAUUUUUCACUUCUAUGAUAGAAAAUCUAUUAUAUCUUUAAUAAUUUAUCAAAAUUAUUAUUUAAAUUUUAUAUUUACUGCAUAUUAAUAACUUUUUUUUUUCAUAAUUAUAAUUUUUCUUUUCACAACAGUUGCAUCUUAAAAGAUACAGCACCUCAAUCCCAAACAUGACCUAAUUUUCUUUCAUUUUCCCACACUUCCUCUUCUCACACAUUUUCUCCUUCAAAAUUAAUAUCUUCUUAUUUUUUUUUCUUCAUUUGUAUCCUUGAGACCUUGACUUUUAAGAAUUUAACGACAUGUGGCACGCGUAAUAAUGAAUGUCUAAAUUGAAAUUUCUAUUAUUAAAAAACUCAUGUUAACUACUAAACUUUUUGAUUUAGUAGCUAAGUCUCAAACAUUCAAUUUUAAAUCCUUAAAAAUCAAGGGCACAUAAAAGAAAAAAAGAAAAAUAAAGUGAGAAUUUGAAUCUAGAAAUUAGGUAUAAAAAGAAGAGAGGAGAGUCAAAAUUGAAAUAAAUAAAAAUUAAAUGUUAAAAGGAAAAGUUUAAGAGUUAAUAUCAUUAAGAUUUUAUCUGCUGCACGUUUAUUACAUCAUUAAAAGUUACAAAAUAGAAUUUUUUUUUUUUUUUUUUUAAAAAAAAACACCAAUGAGAGAAUCCAAAUCCGCCUCCCUCGCCUUCCUUUCAUUAAUACCACUCCCACUAUAUAUUUCUUCCACAAACUCAUCAUCCAAAUGAAAAACAACCAAAAGAACCCAUAAAUCAAAAACCCUCCUUUCACCUCAAAAACUUUUUUUUCCCUCGCCACCAGAUAGGAAAAAAAAAAGAUGUCUCUUAACACUACCCAAAUGCUAUCAACCACCACCAUAGUAUCCGCUGCAGCUUCUGCAGCGGCCACAGCUAUGGUUAUUCGAUCCAUUACUCAUGAUUACUUGCCUUUUGAGGUUAGAGCCUACUUUGCUGUAAAACUCAAAUCUCUUCUUGCAAGAUUUUCUAGUGAGUUGACGUUAGUCAUUAACGAAUAUGAUGAUGGCCUUAACCAAAACGUGCUCUUUAAAGCUGCAAAGCUUUAUCUUGAACCCAGAAUCCCACCCUACGUGAAGCGAAUUAAGAUCAACCUGCCAAACAAGGAAACCAAGAUUUCAUGUUCUGUUGAAAAAGAUGAGGAGAUUGUUGAUGUCUUUAAUGGGGUUCAACUAAAAUGGAAGUUUGCUUCAAAACAAAUCCCUACAGAGAUGGUUCAUCAUCCGGACCAUUACAACCCUGUGGUUAAAUCCGAGGACAGAUGCUUUGAGCUCAGUUUUCACAAGAAGUAUAAGCAAAUGGUCAUGGAUAGUUACAUUCCUCACGUAUUGAAGCAAUCUAAAGAAACAAGCACGCAAAAGAAAACCCUGAAGCUUUUUACCUUGAGGUAUGAUAGGAUGCACGGGAUGAGAGGUGAUGUAUGGCAAUCAGUGAAUCUUGAUCAUCCGGCCACUUUUGAUACGCUGGCAAUGGAUUCUGAUAUGAAGCAGAUGAUAAUGGAUGAUCUCGAGAGGUUUGUGAAGAGGAAGGAGUUUUACAGAAAUGUGGGCAAGGCAUGGAAACGCGGGUAUUUGUUGUAUGGUCCUCCAGGUACAGGGAAGUCAAGCUUGAUUGCGGCCAUGGCUAAUUAUCUGAAUUUUGAUGUUUAUGACUUGGAGUUGACUAAUCUCAGAGGGAAUAUGGAGUUAAGGAAUUUGCUGAUCGCCACAGAGAAUAAAUCCAUUCUCGUUGUGGAGGACAUUGAUUGUUCCAUUGAGUUGCAGGAUAGGUUUGCAAAGGCAAAAGCUACCAAUGCUAUGGACUUGAAUGUGAUCCAACCCGUUAUGAAUCUUAAUCAAGUACCUCAGGUAAUCUUAGUAUCUCAAGAUUCUCGAGUCUUUUCUUUCUUUUUUUUUUCUUUUUUUUAAAUAGAACUUAUAUGGUACAUAAUUUUUUUUUUUCGACGUCAGGUGACUUUGUCUGGAAUGCUAAACUUCAUAGAUGGACUAUGGUCGAGCUGUGGGGAUGAGCGGAUCAUAAUAUUCACAACCAAUCAUAAAGACAGGCUGGACCCCGCUUUCUUGCGCCCUGGUCGUAUGGAUGUGCACAUUCAUAUGUCCUAUUGCACUCCAUGUGGGUUCAAAAUGCUGGCCUCAAGCUACCUUGGAAUUACCGAGCAUCCACUUUUCUUGGAGGUUGAAGGGUUGAUAGAGAAAGCAAAGGUGACUCCUGCUGAUGUAGCUGAGCAGCUGAUGAGGAAUGAGGUGCCCGAAAUUGCACUUAGGGAGCUAAUUCAGUUUCUUGAGAUAAAGAGGAGGGAAAGUGAUGAAAGCAAAGCUAAAGAAGUAAAAGAAGAGAGAGCAGAGGAAGCAGAAAGUGUUCGAGCAAUUGAAGCUUAAAAUCUUGCUGCCAUGCGCAUUUUAUAUAAUCUAUGCUGUCCUAAAAUUUUAUUUGUAAUAAAUCAUCAAAUGAUUUAGGAGCAAAUUGUGAUAUGCUUACUUAUAGCAUUAUUAAGAAAAUAAAGAAUUACAAAAGAAAGGUAUUUUAGAAUACCUCUUUUUAUAUCAAUUUUUUUUUCCUUCUUCUUGAUGUUUCUUCUUCUACCGUCUCUACCAGGUCUUGAACCUUGGUGGCUUGGAUAGUUAUGAAGAUAGCAAACCAGCCACUAGGGUACCAGGGAGACCGUAGCCGUACUCUCAAAAUAUAUAUUUUAACUAUGCCAAGGCAUUUAGCCCUUCUUGAUUAAUACGACUUUUGAAAAAUAAAUAAAAUAAAAUAAAAGAUUUAUUCUAUGCUUCUCUCUCUCUAUGCUAUACAAAAUAUUAACACAACAUUUCUUUUUAACAAAAAAGAGAGGUAUUUUAGAAUACCUCUUAUUUGGUUUCUUCUAUGCUUCUCUUUCUCUCUCUCUACCGGGUCUUGAACCCUGGCGGCACGGAAAUCCUAUCUGGCAUACUUGCCACCAAGGGAACAAAGAAACCCAGUGACAAAUUUUCCCCAAAAUAACUCUUGUCACAGUGAUUUGCAUUCGGCAUCAUCACACACCGACAGCGAAUGCAACACUUCAAAUAGUAGUGUGACUUUUCUGCAGCUAUGACUUAUUAACACCACCCACAUUCAUGCAAGUGACAUUAGAAAGACCUUAACGCAUCAAAAGAUCUUCCACAAAAUUUUUGAGUAGAAGCAAUUCUAAUGAAGAAUGACUAGUGAAUGUGAUUGGUGUAUCACAUAAGGUUUCCAACCAGAAAAAUCAAACCAUGCUUCAUCACAUAAAAAAGCAAUAAAUGGGUAAAACGAAAUAAAUCCAAGUUUCCAAAUCUCUUUCAAAUAGAGCAUUCGAGACUUUGAGCAGAAGUACAUACUGUGAUAGUUUUCAUGUAACAAGGGAAAAUGAAAGUUGAAAAGCAAGAAAAUACAAACAUCCUAAAUCACCUUAGAACCACCAACUCUUGUGGACUAAAGGAUUCCCGCUUACUACAUAUGCACUAUUUAAAAGUUUAUCCAACAAUCAGAUUCUUAUUGGCUAUUUGUAUAAAACUCUGCGUCAAUACAUGCCUCCAGUAGCGGUGCCUGCAAUAUUAUAUAGAAAAACACAACACAGCAUCAGUCUUCGGAAUUAGUUUUUUUUAUAAGCUCUAGACUACUUAAAACACACAAGGGGUAGCCAAGAUCUUGGAAGCUCCUAAAAUACAACACCAAUUAUGGUUCAAACUCAAGUUCACUUCAUACUCAACAUAAGACUUUAUGAAAGAUGCUAUUAGGUUUUCACAAAACCCUGGAACUUUCCAACAAGACCUACACUGCACCCCAUCUGAGGUAAAAAAAGGAAGUAUAUAGGGGUAAAUCUCCAAUAGUAUGCACUUUAUGAUUCAAGCUUCCAACAAGGACGCCAAGAUUUUCCAUUUUAUGAUGAUAUAUAUAUAUAUCCUACAUAAAACAAGAAGAGAAUCCACACCAAAAGUAUGCAAUAUAGUAACAUGCAAUGGAUUUUGCACACACUAUCAAACUUCGCCCAAAUUGAAACUAAUGAAACUUAGUGAAUGUUAAGAGGAUUCAAAGAGGGAAAAUAAAUCAAUGAACAGAAAAAUUGAGUGUUAUACUUGCCUCAAAACUUGGCAAUUAUUGCCUAGGAGGGACCAGAGUCUGUGAGUUACUGAACCUAUAAGAGAGAUCUAUACCGCCAUUUUCAUUUCUAUUUUCUGGUGUGGAUCAUAACCUAUAAGUUUGAAAUCCUCUGAUACAAAAGAAUCUAUAUCUUUCUUCUCAGGAUUGAUCUUCAAAAUCUGCAUUACAACAUGGUAAGAAAACAUAGAAGUACCAUAGGGUAAAAUGACAAAAAUAAAAAAUAAAAAUAAAAAAAAGUGAGAAAAGUAUUCAAGUACACCUUUUCCAUCUAUCAUCAUCAUGAGUUAAUAAUUGAGUCAUAAUCGUAUGUCUAUAAUUAUACUUACUGGAAAAGGCUUUGGCAGUUUCUGAAGUUGUUCCUCCAGAGGCCUGACAUGAUUGCGAUAAACAUGAGCAUCACCAAUGACAUGAAUGAAAUCGCCAGGAGCAAGAUCUGUACAACAUAAAAGGAGGUCAAGAGAGUUUCCUAAUGGACAAAACUCUAGCACUUAGACUAAUAAAACCAUUCGAUUAAUCCCUGCAUAAGGAAAUUUUACCCUUGUACAGAUUGUUCAUUAGUUUCUAUGUUUCCUAUACUCUUUUGAUCAAUUCAAAUUCCCCAUUCACAUUGGCGUAACACUCUUCAAAGAGUAAAGGGACACACUGCAAGGCUCAUUAUUAUUUCUCAUCAGAAAUUACUCUUUUAUCCGUUAAUUACCAAUGAUACCCAUCCAACUACCAAGUUUUAACAAUUCUGCCUGAAUGUGCAAACUGCAAAGUGAAACCAGUUUUUGGGGAGAAUACAUACCACAAACAUGAGCAAUCAUGCAUGUCAAGAGGGCAUAUGAAGCAAUGUUAAACGGCACACCCAGGCCCAUAUCAGCAGAGCGCUGAUACAUUUGACAUGAUAACUCCCCAUUAGCCACAUAGAACUGCCAAAACAAAAAGUGAGACUCAACAAACAACGAAAGAAAUAAUGAGACAAAAUUAAGGCAAAAUAUAAAUGCUACCUGAGCAAACAUGUGGCAAGGUGGAAGCGCCAUCAAUUUGAGAUCAAAAGGAUUCCAAGCCGAGAGUACAAUCCGCCGAUCAUUUGGAUUAUUCUUAAUCUUGUUAAUAACAUCUAGCAACUGAUCAAAGCCUUGGCCAGAGUAGUCAGCAUGCAUGUUAGUAUACCUGUAAAAUUUAAGACAAUUAGCAAAGCCUGAAACUUGAAUUCUUGAAGGUAAUGUAAUCCGUCAUAGAAACUUGAAAAACCAGACUCCACUAACCUUGCACCAAAGUGCCUCCAUUGAAAACCAUAUACAGGUCCUAGGUCACCCUCCUCUCUGUCCGUCAAACCAACACUGAACAGACACAAAUAUCAGUGGUAAGUGCAUGAAAGAACAAUUAAUAUUACCUUUUCAAAGAAAAAUUAAAUCCUGACACUCGCCUAUCAAGAUAUUCCCUGGAUGCAUUGCCAUCCCAUAUAUGAAUAUCCUUUUCCUGAAGAACCUGUCAUGAUACUAUUGUUAGGACGUAGUCCUGCUCCAGACAGAAUAAAAGGAACAAACAAUUCAAUGGAUGCCUCAUCCAAAUUUUUUUUUUUUUUUUUUAACAAAAGCAAAAGAUAAAUGAUCAUUGAUCGAUAUUAACAGGUCAAGUGAAAACCAGCAUUGCUAUUUUAAAGCAACACAAGAAGAAUUCAUCUCUGGCAGCGAACAAACAAAAAUUAUUAAUGCCAUGGUAAAGAAAAAUUAAUCUCCACUAGUGUGCAUUCAGUUAAUUCUGCCUGCCACAAAACAUAGUCAGAAUGUAAACAUGCAAUUUGUCAGAACACAUCUUCCAUAGAAUAAAUGAAAAAGAGAAACCUAACUUAUCAACCGAACUUUUGAUAGGAAACAAAGAAACUAGUAUUACCACAGAUUACCUGUUUAGAAAAAAAAAAAAAAAAAACAAUUACAGAAUAUAUGGAUCAUAUGCAGUGCAUUAAAAAAUAUGACAGAUGAAGUGGGACAAACUCUGAGCAGUUAAAAAAAGCUGAAACAAAUUAAACAAAGACCCUCAAAAUGCUAAUCAUUUUAACAACUCCUUGUAGCUUCAUGUGUGUGCAAAGGUAUGAUUUUAGUGAAAUGCAAACAAAAUAUAAAAUAAAAUAAAAUAAUUCCUUGAAAGAUCUUAACCAUUGGAAGACAAAGACUGAUCUGCUCUAUUGCUCCCAAGAGUACAUAAAAGAUCAACUUUCAACAAUAACAUCAUUACCUUGGCAUUUGUUGAACCACUGAUGAACCAGAGAAGUUCCUCGACAACACCUCGCCAAAAUACUUUCUAUGAACCAAAUGAUAACAAUAAAUGUCAACCUAAAUAUCAAAUAAAUGAGAUUUUUUUCUCCUUUUUAUUAUAAAUUGAUUUUCUGACCAAGAAAGAAAGCAAAAUAAAAUAAAAUAAAACACCAUGAGUUGGCUCAAUCUCUAAGACCCAAGACAAUUUUAGAAAAAUAGAUAAGAUAGACAUGCCUUGGUUGUAAGAAGCGGAAAAGUUGUGCGCAAAUUGUACCGCAUCUGUAGGAAACAAAUUUGAAAAGAAGAUCAGCUUCCACAAAUAGUUAAACAAGACUGUCAAACGGAAACAAACUUCAGAAGCAAAAGUAGAGAAGCUCUAUUGAUAAUAAGAGCUUGGCAUUACCUGGCAACCAAAUUUGGACAAUGUACCAGUUCCUGUCCUGUCAUCCUUCAGAUUGCCAUCUGAGAUGAUGUCUUGAACAAGUCUUAGAUACAAGUACUCCUCAUGUUUCUCAAAAACCAUCUUGGGCAGGAAUGAGAACUGCUUGACCUCAAACUUGUCAGAAUUUGUCUUACUAUCAAGGACAAUAUCAUUGUUUUGACUAAGGGAUUCCACCGCAGCACUUCUCACACGAACAUAAGUACUAAGGCAAUACCGAAUGUUGUUUUCCACAAUGGGAAAGGCUGAGUACCAUGGCUGAAAUACAGAUGAAUCAAUCGAUGGAAUAAAUGUGUCACACUCAAUCCUGGUCUCAAUUUCAGUAAUGUGGAUAGCAUCACAUUCAGGAGCAUUGAGAGCCUCGCUGUUUCAAAUGAAAAUCAACAUAAAAAAGAAAUCAUAAUGAAAAAAAUAAAAUAAAAUAAAAAGGCACUGCUAUAUAAAGUUAAAAAAACGAGCACACACCUUAAGAUCUGGCCGCCUCCAAUAACAAAAACUUUCUCAAUUGACAAACAAUAAGGAGAAGCAGCCAACAAUUCUAAAGCAGAACCAAUGCUUCCACAUAUCACAACAUUCUCAACUGUAGCAAUAUCAAAACUUCCAGAACGAGUAACUGCUGUACGGCCAAGGCGGAUGUACGGUACAGCAGGGUCUCAUAGAGGAGUAUGGCAAUCAGUGAAUCUUGAUCAUCCGGCGACUUUUGAUACAUUGGCUAUGGAUUUUGAUAUGAAGAAGACGAUAAUGGAUGAUCUAGAGAGGUUUCUGCAGAGGAAGGAAUUUUAUCGAAGAGUAGGCAAGGCAUGGAAACGUGGGUAUUUACUGUAUGGUCCUCCAGGGACUGGCAAGUCAAGCUUGAUUGCGGCCAUGACUAGUUAUCUCAAUUUCGAUAUCUAUGACUUGGAGUUGUCUAAUCUUCGGUGGCGUAAUGAUGUGCGUUGAUGGUGGGGUGGUUAAUUGGUAGAAAACAGUGAUUGGAGUGCCCGUGUGGAUACUUGAUGGAUGGACCGAAGUUACUUGGCUAUUGGUUGCUUUUGUUAAAGGUGAUAGGCGCGUGUGUUGUCGGCCUUCUUUUGAAAGGAAGGCAUUGUAAUUGGUCAGUCGGUUUGCACUUUAAAGUUGGUGAGUCGGUGGUUUAAUUUAAACAAUUUGUUUUGAUUAUGGUUUGGUUUACGUAGUUUUGUGUUUGUCAAUCCUUGUAGUUUGUUGUGAUUGGUGGAUUUCAAUUAGUUAUCAAAUUUAGUUUAUUGGAAGGAAUUUGAAGAAGUUGAAUUAAUAUUCGGUUUCCCGCUCAGUGUUUGGCUAUAAAUAUGUGUUGAUCGGGUUCAUUUUGGGAGCAGGAGAGCAGGAUCGUAGAGGUUAGAGAGAGAAUGGAGAGGAAAGGUAAGUGUGGUUCUCAUUUGAGUUUCAGUAAGGGGUGGAUGCAUAGUAUAGUUUCUGAAAUAUGUGAGCAUGAUUUUGUGUUUGUAUUAAUCCCUUUUAAUAUGGAGAGGAUGGAGUUAGUUGAGUUUUUCCGUAGACGUGGGUAUCUGAUAUCGAAUGGCCGUUCUCUUCCCUAUGCUCAUGGCGUUGAUUAUGGGAUGGUGGAUAGUGAUGAUGAAGACGCUGAGUGUGAGUUUGAUUUUAGUAAUUGGUCCGUUGAGAAGAACCGUAACACUGUAAUAUCAUUGAGCGAUUGGUGUGAUGAUAAUGGCAACAUGGAGGUUGUGGAUGUUAAUUUAGAUGGAAACUAUGGGGUAAUUAAUAUUGAUAUGGAUCGGUUUUUCAUGAAGUUUGAUAAGCAUUUAGUUGUAUUCAUUAAUGAUUAUGAUGUUGAAUUAGCUAAAUGUAAAGCUUAUGUAAUCGAUUGUAAUAAGUUUUAUAAUUAAUGAAAGCUAAUAAUAUUAAUGAUAUAUUAUUAGAGAUUACUAUAAGUGUGAUGUAAAUGGGGGCAUAAGUGUGCCCGUAUUCAGUUUUGUAAAGAAUGUUGUAAGGUUAUUGGUGGUGUUCCAGAUUGGAUGUAAUGUCGAAAUUUGUAAGGAAUGAAUGUUUGUUGAACAAUGUGUGAACGUUAUGGAUUGGUUUGUAUAUCAUUUGGUUUAUAUUUGCCACCAAUUCAACGUGACCUAUUUUGUAACGACCAAUUUAUCCUAAAUUUAAUAAAACGAAUAAAUUCAGAAUGGAUGUGCAUAUUCACAUGACAUAUUGUAAUCCAGGAGGUGGGUUCAAAAUGCUGGCCUCCAACUACCUUGGGAUCACAGAGCAUCCAUUCUUCUUAGAGGUUGAAGAGUUGACAGAGAAAGUAAUGGUGACUCCUGCUGAUGUAGCUGAGCGACUGAUGAGGAGUGAGGUACCUGAAGUUGCACUUAGAGACCUAAUUGAUUUUCUUAAGAUCAAGAAGAGAGAACAGGGUGAAAGUAAAGCCAAAGGAGUGAAAGAAGAGAGAGCAGGGGAAGCAGAAAUUGAAGGGAAAGCCAGUGGCACAUGCGGAGACAUGCCAAAGAUUCAGCAAAUUGUAGGGAAGUCUUCAAGAAGCAAUGAUUUGUGAUCAGAAUAGGGUACAUUUCAUUUCAGUGGUCAAAGAAAGUCUUACAUAGGAGGUUCAAAUAAAAUUACAUCAGAGUCAAAAAUCAGGCUUGAAUGAAUAUGUUCUAUUUUGCCAAUGAAUUCGAAUCAUCAUAUGAUUAAUGACCACCAUUUUCUUUUUCUUUUUUUUUCUUUUUUUGGUUUUACAAGAGGUGUCCUUUUAUAUUUUCUUUAGAUUAAAUGACCUUUUGUAUGUCCUAAAUUUUCAGAAAUUAUUUUAGGAUGAGUUAUGCUAUUUCAACUCUAUGACGACAAAGGGACGACAGAAACAUGUGUCUCUUUGUCUGUUGCUUCAACUUCAUUCAUCAUCCUUUAUCGAUUACUUUUUUCAUUUAAAAAAUAAAAUAAUGAAAAAGAAACCACAAAAGUAACGAAAAGAGGUGACAAUAACAGCACUUUUUUAUUUCCGAUUUUUCUUGUUGUCUUCUCUCUCUCCAUCUCUCACCUCUCAUUUAACGUGAGCCAUCUGCAUUUAACAAGGAAAAAUCGGUUCCCUCUCUGCAUCUCGCUUAUCACAAGGAAGAAGUUAGAUCUGGAUCUGCAAACAGAGGCAACUUGAUAAAAUUGGUACUGAUUAAUUGGUAAGUUGGUGACUCUCAUUACAUUUAAAUAAAAUUUUUGUUGUGUUCUAUAUAUUUAAAUGGUUAGAAUAUUUAAUUUAAAUUGUAAAUAUUCGUAGAUUUUUUCUUUUUAUAUAUUUAAAUUGUUAUGAUUUUUUUUUAAUUUAAAUGGGUGGAAAUAAUGGAAUAAAUUAUAACAAUUUCUGAAUGUGUUUUAUAUAUGUUAGGAUUUUUUUUAAUUUAAAUGCCUGGAAAUAAUGGAAUAAAUUGUAACAAUUUUUUAAUGUGUUUUAUAUAUGUUAGGAUUUUUCUUAAUUUAAAUGGCUGGAAAUAAUGGAAUAGAUUAUAACAAUUUCUAAAUGUGUUUUAUAUAUGUUACGAUUUUUUUUAAUUUAAAUUGCUGAAAAUAAUGUAAUAAAUUAUAACAAUUUCCGAAUGUGUUUUAUAUAUUUAAGUUGUUAGGAUUUUAUAAUUUAAAUUGCUGGAGAUAAUAGAAUAAAUUAUAAAAAUUUGUGGAUGUGUUUUAUAUAUUUAAAUUGUUAGGAAUUUUCGUUACUGGACAAAAAUGUUAUAUAAGUUUCUUAAUACAAAUGUUAAUUAUUUUGUAGAAAUGGAGAAUUUGGAAAAUGAGCAUGCAUUUGAAGAGUUGCAAGAAACAAGAGCUAACGAUGUAGAUGAAAUUGUGGAACCGAACAAAUGUGAGCCAGAUCUUAGAAUGUUAUUUGAUAAUCGUGAAGAAAUGUUUGCAUUUUACAAAGCUUAUAGUAAACAAGAGGGGUUUCCUGUGAAGGUUCAAAGUACUAGGAAGGGGACCGAUGGAAUUGUAAAAUAUGCGACAUUUGCAUGUGGGCGUAGCGGCAAGUCAGAAAGUAAAUCAGCUAAUGCAUUGAAGCCGAAACCGAAUGUGAAAAAUGGUUGUGAUGCAAAAAUUGGAGGUUGUCUAAAUGAAGAUGGAAAAUGGGUUCUUCAAACUUUAAAUCUUCAACACAACCCUGGAUUGAGUCCAGACAAAGCUAGGUAUUUCCCAUGCAAUCGCAGAAUUAGUGCAAGUGCUAAAAAACGAAUUAAAAUUAAUGAUUGUGCAGGAAUUAGAAUUGUCCAAAAUUUCAAUUCUAUUGUUGUUGGAGCUAGUGGGUAUGAAAAUGUGUCAUUCUUAGAAAAAGAUUGUAGAAAUUUUGUUGACAAAACAAGGCGAUUACAGCUUGAGGAAGGAGAUGUUAUGGCGCUUUUAAAGUACUUCCAUAAAAAGCAAGUAGAAUGUGCUCAAUAUUUCGAUUUAUGUCACAAUCUCCCAGUGUCAAGUAGCUGGAUACCGUUCACGUUCCACAUAUUAUUUUUCACAUUUAAUUAAUUCAAUUAAGUGGAUGAUCAUAUAAAUGAUACCACGAUAUGUUAAAUUGAAAGUUCAGAAAGAUUCAAAAUUUCAUCAUCCACAAGAUAAAAUAAAAACAAAUAAAAAAAAUGCUUACGGAUGGGUCACUAGAACUGCACCAGCAAGCAACAGCUAGAAGUCUCUUAGAAGCCUGAAGAGCCACAACAAGAUCAUUCCACCAAAGCAGCAACGUCGUAGAUGAAGAAGACUCGAUCGUGUCUGUUGUAGAUCUGGGUUGGGCGAGAACAAGAAGCGGUCGUCAUCCGGUAACAAGAAGCAGGCGUCGUCCGGUAACAAAGCAAAUAGGGUUGGGCGAGAAAAAAAAAAAAAAGGGCUGGGUGAGAAUAAGCAGCCAGGAAAAUGAGUGGAGGGGCUAUGGAGAUGAAUGCGCGUAGAUCGAGGCUGAGCUGGUGGCCAAUGAGAAUCAUACUUUGCUAACCAAGCUUGUGAAAAGGAGGGAAAAGCACCAGCCGGCCAGGAAUGAUGACCAAUUGCUGGGGGUCGAUUUCCUCUUCCUUCCAGAUGAACGGAAAGGGAAGAACGAAGGAGGGGAGUAAACUAAGGAAAGGAAAAUAUGGCUGGGGAGGGAGGAGAUAAAAAACAAAAAGAGAUGACCUGCUUUCCAUUUAACAAUUCUUUAUUUUAUUAUUUAUUAUGGCCCCACGCGGAACUAAAAGAAGACAAAGGAAACGCGUGAAACAGCAGUGGGCACUGCGUUUCUGUCGCCCCUUUGUCUUCUUUUAGUUCCUUUAUCAUUUUCCUUUUAGGAUUCAUUGGUUGAAUAGAUUUGUAUCCCCCAAGGUUAACAUUAUUAUACUUAGUGCUUAUUCG
RNAcentral lists this long non-coding RNA (22668 nucleotides) under Citrus sinensis (sweet orange). RNAcentral's name for it is "long non-coding RNA (CSIN_LNC003375)". Lineage: Eukaryota; Viridiplantae; Streptophyta; Magnoliopsida; Sapindales; Rutaceae. The record is from RNAcentral.